This is a long non-coding RNA of Helianthus annuus (common sunflower), 2363 nucleotides long. RefSeq lists it as uncharacterized. The transcript has 9 exons. NCBI's taxonomy places the organism in Eukaryota, Viridiplantae, Streptophyta, Magnoliopsida, Asterales, Asteraceae. The record is from RefSeq and is a predicted model, not a curated record.
CCAUGUUUGUAACUAACAUUAUCUUUCUAGAAAUGAAAUACCCCGCCGCACCGCGGCGGGUCAACCACUAGUUAUUAUAUAUAUACAAUUGAGGUAUGUUCUUAAGAACAGUUCAGGUUUCAAAGGUUUCCUUCACCUACACCUGCCAGUCAUUCCGUCUUCUCUCACUUUAUCCCCUUCUCUCUAUGCCUCUCUGGGUUAAACGAGGAAGAUGAAGAAGACAGCGGCGAAGCCAUCGCUCCCACCAUCGCACUAAAUCGGAAGCCCUAAAUCUCGAACAAGAAAUUAACCGAAAGAAAUUAGAAGAUGACUCUUUCAACAUCCAAUGGAAAAUCGUAUAUGGUUAAUCACUGAUCUACAGUUGCAGGUAAGUGAAUCAACGAUCAUCGUGAUGAUGAUUACGAGGUGUUUGAUCCAGUGGGUAUUUGUGGAUCUAUACAUGCCUAAUUAGGUCAUGAGAUUUAAAUCAAUUUAGUGACGGUAAUCUUAUAUGUUUGUUAAUCGUUUCCACUAAAUUGACUAAAUAAUCGGUACGUUUUUGGACUAGACGCCUGUAUAUAGCUUACAUUGAUUACUAGGUUGGAAUGUAAAUUGAUUUAAUAAUGAUUUCUUGUGGUUUGUAGACGUUUUUUAACGUGAUUUUACAUAGAGAAAGUGAAAGGUAGUUUCUUAUGCAAACAUAUUAAUCCUUCUAGCUAUUACAUACUAUUAGUUUUUAUAUGUAGAUAUUUAUCGUUUUACCCAGUUUGUAAAUGUAGAUUAAGGAAAACACCAACAACAGCAAAAACAAUCCUGUAAGAGAUAACAUAUGCUGGGACAGUUCACUUAAAGAGGUUGGUGUGGAUGAAAGACCGCUGAAGGCGGGGACCAAAUUCAGUAGCUUUGGAAAGUGUUGAAACACGAAAAGAGCCCGGUAGUAGUUGAAUUGGAACAUGAAAAUCGACGAUUAGUGUUUGGGGUACUCUAUUGGUGUCAAACGAUGGGGAAAAGGAACAGAUUGACGAUGCACAAAUGUUUGAAAAGGAAGGUGAAGCCGCAGGGGGAGAGAGGCGCGGCGGUCAUUCGCAACACCGUAGCUGCAGUCGGAGACAUGGAAGUAGCCCAGCUCUAGCACCGACGAUAAAAUGCCUGAAUAAUCUAAAACGAAACCCAGCUUUAUGAUUGACAUAUUGUUUUCUACAGGCCAAUGCACGUUUGGGAUGUUUUGUAGUUGCGGCUGGGCCUGAUUUUCAACAUAAGCAUUGUCACGCUGAAGAGAAAAAGAGAUUGAAUGAGGAUUUGAUGCAGGGGGUGGUUGUUAGUUUCGCCAUUGACCCUCGACGGCGGUAGGAAGAGGUGACGAGACUAAAAUUAGGAGUAGCAGAAGGCAGAUGAGGGUCCGAUGAUCCAGAUUCUCUUACCUGAGCUCUCCCUUUUCUAGAAAUAUACCACCCGACCUCCGAACCGAUAGCUCUGGGGCAUAAUUGAUAUCGAGGAUAAUUUGAUUUGGAGACUGAUCCUUACUAGAAAACUAUGAACUUGCAGAACAUGGAGGAAGUUUUUAGGUUUUCUUCACGAGAACAUGAGAAUUAAUUGUUAGGUUUGAUAAAUACAGAUUGGAAGUGGAAAACGUACAAAUUGUGUGGUUGACAAACCGCCACGCCUGAAGAUCAAUCGACCGGUGGUAAUCAAGAGUUGCUCAUAAAUCUCUUUACUAAUGUCAAUAUUAUGAUGAUAAAUGAAAAUACUGAAAUGGAGAUCAAAAAAUGUUACUGGAAUUCCUGAAAGAACGCGAGAAACACAUGAAUAAGCCAAUAGCGAAACACCAACUAAGUGAGACAACUACUGCUACAGUAAUGAGCACAAGCUCAAACACCAAGGAUGAGUGGAGGUUUGCACCCUAGCUUAUGAAGAAGUAAGUACCACAAGUAGUCGUGAUCAAGCACAAAGAAAGCUUUAAUUAUAUUGACGGGUUGUCUCCUGAAACAAGUGGAAUGCUGCUUCUUUUUUCCAAAAAAAAAAAACAUGCUGAUAUAGAAGAAGGUUUUGUUGCGUAUGACAAAGAAACAAACAAAUCACGGGCAAGAAGAAUCUGGUGGCAAGUAUGUGUAUGGCUACAACUACCUAUCCCGGCUCAGUUCGAGACUAAAUGGGCUACUACAACACAUAGAACAAAAACAUCUGAGCAAGGCCAGGAAGAAAGCAACUGGAGCCGAAAUGUGCACACUGUGGUAGAUAUGGAACAGCCGCAUUGAAAAGAUAUUCGAAGGAGGCGCAAACUCUAACAAAAAUGAACAGCCACAAUGAAAAGAUAUUCGAAGGAGGCUUAAACUCUCAACAAAAAUUGACGGAGGCCAUAAAAGAAACAUCAAAGUGGAAUGCAA